AACCAGCAUUGCAAAACAGAAGACAAUUUGGUAGAGAGAAAAGCUAAAACCCUCUUCUUCCCAAAAUAUAAAAUAAUUGAAUAAAUGAUAGGGUAUAGGGAACAUCUAAUCCCUCUUCUUGACUGCCAACGAUUGGAGAUGACUCCUUUCAGGUUGUAGCAAGAAAAGUUAAAAACCAGUAUACAUGGAAGGAUUGCUUUGAAGCAGUUGAAGUUGGGCAUUGCAAAUCAUUGGUGGCGACUUGCACUAUUUGAGUUCUUCCGUAAGGUAUUUCUUCCUUAUUGUGAUCUUCAUUGAAGAGUUAUUGGUUUUCUAUGUAAUAGUGAUUGUUCCUUAUAUUUCAUCAGGAGGGGAUUCUUCUUAGUCUAUGUUUAUGUAAUGACUUCCAUGAAAUUUUCUUAUAAAUAAAAAAUAGUAAAGUUCUCCAUUUUUCAAAAUGGUUUUCUGUUUUUUUUCUUUCUUAUUGGUUGGUGUUAAUUCGCCCCGAUGAUUCAAGUGUCAUGGUUUAGCAGAAAUACCACUUCUAUCUUUGUGUGAUUGCAGAUAUACCACUUCUGUCAUUGGCUUUAUAAAUGCAGUUGAUCAUAUAAUAUUAACACUUAACAGAAUAUUUAUAGAUAUAAACUUACAU
Cannabis sativa is the source of this 631-nucleotide long non-coding RNA. RefSeq lists it as uncharacterized. Lineage: Eukaryota; Viridiplantae; Streptophyta; Magnoliopsida; Rosales; Cannabaceae. The record is from RefSeq and is a predicted model, not a curated record. The transcript is spliced from 3 exons.